AUACUUACCUGGCAGGGGAGACAGCACCAUCACGAAGGCGGCUUUCCCAGGGCGAGGCUGCGCCUUUGCACUGGGGACCUGCUGAGCCCUGCGGUCUCCCCAAAUGCGGGAAACUUGGUUGCGUAAUUUGUGGUAGUGGGGGGCUGCCUGCGCGCUCUCCCCUG
RNAcentral lists this small nuclear RNA (164 nucleotides) under Dasypus novemcinctus (nine-banded armadillo). Its description in RNAcentral is "U1 spliceosomal RNA (ENSDNOG00000038914.1)". It matches the Rfam family "U1 spliceosomal RNA". From Rfam's summary of the family: U1 is a small nuclear RNA (snRNA) component of the spliceosome (involved in pre-mRNA splicing). The record is from RNAcentral. Lineage: Eukaryota; Metazoa; Chordata; Mammalia; Cingulata; Dasypodidae.